Molecule: ribosomal RNA, 253 nt
Filed under: uncultured bacterium
Lineage: Bacteria
Description: partial 16S ribosomal RNA
Rfam family: Bacterial small subunit ribosomal RNA
Source: RNAcentral
UACGGAGGAUGCAAGCGUUAUCCGGAAUGAUUGGGCGUAAAGCGUCCGCAGGUGGUAUUUCAAGUCUGCUGUCAAAGAGUUUGGCUCAACCAAAUAAGGGCAGUGGAAACUGAAAAACUAGAGUGCGAUAGGGGUAGAGGGAAUUCCUGGUGUAGCGGUGAAAUGCGUAGAGAUCAGGAAGAACACCGGUGGCGAAAGCGCUCUACUAGGUCGUUACUGACACUGAGGGACGAAAGCUAGGGGAGCGAAUGGG